This is a transfer RNA of Felis catus (domestic cat), 85 nucleotides long. It matches the Rfam family "tRNA". From Rfam's summary of the family: Transfer RNA (tRNA) molecules are approximately 80 nucleotides in length. Lineage: Eukaryota; Metazoa; Chordata; Mammalia; Carnivora; Felidae. The record is from Rfam.
GCCUGAGUGGCUCAAUCGGUUAAGCGUCUGACUUCGGCUCAGGUCACGAUCUCAGGGUUCGUGAGUUCGAGCCCCGCGUCGGGCU